RNAcentral lists this ribosomal RNA (468 nucleotides) under uncultured bacterium. RNAcentral describes it as "partial 16S ribosomal RNA". It matches the Rfam family "Bacterial small subunit ribosomal RNA", at positions 28 to 507 of the family's 1533-position model. The record is from RNAcentral.
GACGAACGCUGGCGGCGUGCUUAACACAUGCAAGUCGAACGGAAAGGCCCUGCUUUUGUGGGGUGCUCGAGUGGCGAACGGGUGAGUAACACGUGAGUAACCUGCCCUUGACUUUGGGAUAACUUCAGGAAACUGGGGCUAAUACCGGAUAGGAGCUCCUGCUGCAUGGUGGGGGUUGGAAAGUUUCGGCGGUUGGGGAUGGACUCGCGGCUUAUCAGCUUGUUUGUGGGGUAGUGGCUUACCAAGGCUUUGACGGGUAGCCGGCCUGGGAGGGUGACCGGCCACAUUGGGACUGCGCUACCGCCCAGCCUCCUUCGGGAGGCAGCAGUGGGGAAUAUUGCACAGUGGGCGGAAGCCUGAUGCAGCAACGCCGCGUUCGGGAUGACGGCCUUCGGGUUGUAAACCGCUUUCGCCUGUGACGAAGCGUUAGUGACGGUAAUGGGUAAAGAAGCACCGGCUAACUACGUG